RNAcentral lists this ribosomal RNA (447 nucleotides) under uncultured bacterium. RNAcentral describes it as "bacterial SSU rRNA". It matches the Rfam family "Bacterial small subunit ribosomal RNA", at positions 355 to 825 of the family's 1533-position model. The record is from RNAcentral.
UGGGGAAUAUUGGACAAUGGGCGCAAGCCUGAUCCAGCCAUGCCGCGUGAGUGACGAAGGCCUUAGGGUUGUAAAGCUCUUUUGGCGGGGACGAUAAUGACGGUACCCGCAGAAUAAGCCCCGGCUAACUUCGUGCCAGCAGCCGCGGUAAUACGAAGGGGGCUAGCGUUGUUCGGAAUCACUGGGCGUAAAGCGCACGUAGGCGGAUUUGUAAGUCAGGGGUGAAAUCCCGGGGCUCAACCUCGGAACUGCCUUUGAUACUGCAAGUCUCGAGUUCGGGAGAGGUGAGUGGAAUUCCUAGUGUAGAGGUGAAAUUCGUAGAUAUUGGGAAGAACACCAGUGGCGAAGGCGGCUAACUGGUCCGGUACUGACGCUGAGGUGCGAAAGCGUGGGGAGCAAACAGGAUUAGAUACCCCAGUAGUCCCUGAGCGGGCUGGCAAGGCGCAU